RNAcentral lists this non-coding RNA (188 nucleotides) under Oscillatoriales cyanobacterium CG2_30_40_61. Its description in RNAcentral is "6S RNA". It matches the Rfam family "6S / SsrS RNA". From Rfam's summary of the family: E. coli 6S RNA was the first non coding RNA to be sequenced, but its function was unknown until recently. It consists of 184 nucleotides that fold into an extended hairpin structure with a large single-stranded internal bulge. Lineage: Bacteria; Bacillati; Cyanobacteriota; Cyanophyceae; Oscillatoriales. RNAcentral also lists the same sequence under 1 other name. The record is from RNAcentral.
GUUCUGCUGCGACGUUGGUGAUUUGCCGAUAUGUUUUUUUGAUCUAUAGCUUUAAGAAUACGGGAACCAAGAGAAUUGCAGGCGGCAGUAAACCGAGCUUAGACUCGGAAACUUUAAGUCUGGUCGAGGUACCCACCUGGUUUUACCCAGGUCAAAAGCAACAGGCAACACGGCGUUGCGGUUAACCU